Molecule: ribosomal RNA, 301 nt
Filed under: uncultured bacterium
Lineage: Bacteria
Description: partial 16S ribosomal RNA
Rfam family: Bacterial small subunit ribosomal RNA
Source: RNAcentral
CAGCAGCCGCGGGAAUACCGAGGGUGCGAGCGUUAAUCGGAUUUACUGGGCGUAAAGCGUGCGUAGGCGGCUUCUUAAGUCGGAUGUGAAAUCCCUGAGCUUAACUUAGGAAUUGCAUUCGAUACUGGGAAGCUAGAGUAUGGGAGAGGAUGGUAGAAUUCCAGGUGUAGCGGUGAAAUGCGUAGAGAUCUGGAGGAAUACCGAUGGCGAAGGCAGCCAUCUGGCCUAAUACUGACGCUGAGGUACGAAAGCAUGGGGAGCAAACAGGAUUAGAUACCCGUGUAGUCCCUGUCUCUUAUAC